CCCCUCUCAGGAUUGUAUCUGGAGAGUUUCCAGUACUCUACCAGUCUCGGCUCUGAGGGAGUAUCAAGCAGAGGCAUACCCAUUCCAUUCCUAGCUUGGGCAGUGGCUAGUGAGUGGAAGGUAAUCUGCUACAAGU
Molecule: small nucleolar RNA, 136 nt
Organism: Tachyglossus aculeatus (Australian echidna)
Lineage: Eukaryota; Metazoa; Chordata; Mammalia; Monotremata; Tachyglossidae
Source: RefSeq, a predicted model, not a curated record